UACGGAGGGGGCAAGCGUUGUCCGGACUUACUGGGCGUAAAGGGUGCGUAGGCGGGUAAGUAAGUCCGUGGUGAAAUCUCUGAGCUUAACUCAGAAACUGCCGUGGAUACUAUUUGCCUUGAAUAUUGUGGAGGUGAGCGGAAUAUGUCAUGUAGCGGUGAAAUGCUUAGAUAUGACAUAGAACACCAAUUGCGAAGGCAGCUCACUACACAAUCAUUGACGCUGAGGCACGAAAGCGUGGGGAUCAAACAGG
This 253-nucleotide ribosomal RNA is filed under the name uncultured bacterium. RNAcentral describes it as "partial 16S ribosomal RNA". It matches the Rfam family "Bacterial small subunit ribosomal RNA", at positions 524 to 776 of the family's 1533-position model. The record is from RNAcentral.